GAUGAAGAACGUAGCGAAAUGCGAUAAGUAAUGUGAAUUGCAGAAUUCAGUGAAUCAUCGAAUCUUUGAACGCACCUUGCGCUCUUUGGUAUUCCGAAGAGCAUGCCUGUUUGAGUGUCAUGAAAAUAUCAACCUUGACUUGGGUUUUGUGCUCUAGUCUCGGCUUGGAAUUGGGUGCUUGCCGCUUUUACGAGCGGCUCACCUUAAAUGUAUUAUCUGGAUCUGUCUUUGAGACUUGGUUUGACUUGGCGUAAUAAGUAUUUCGCUAAGGACAUUCUUCGGAGUGGCCUCGUUUCUAGGACGCUUGUCCGCUUUCCAAUACAAGUUCCACCUCGUGGACAUGACUUUUUAUUAUCUGGCCUCAAAUCAGGUAGGACUACCCGCUGAACUUAAGCAUAUCAAUAAGCGGAGGA
This 413-nucleotide unclassified non-coding RNA is filed under the name soil metagenome. RNAcentral's name for it is "partial contains 5.8S ribosomal RNA, internal transcribed spacer 2, and large subunit ribosomal RNA". The stretch from base 1 to 120 matches the Rfam family "5.8S ribosomal RNA", at positions 35 to 154 of the family's 154-position model. The record is from RNAcentral.